RNAcentral lists this small nuclear RNA (102 nucleotides) under Olea europaea subsp. europaea. Lineage: Eukaryota; Viridiplantae; Streptophyta; Magnoliopsida; Lamiales; Oleaceae. The record is from RNAcentral.
CAAAAUACAUUCAUAAUCCGAUAAAAUUGUAAAAAUAUAGAGAUCUUAGCAUGGCCGUGCACAAGGAUGACACCCACAAUUCAAGAAAUGGUGAAGAAAACC